CCUACGGGAGGCAGCAGUAGGGAAUCUUUCACAAUGGGCGAAAGCCUGAAGGAGCAACGCCGCGUGCAGGAUGAAUGCCCUCGGGGUGUAAACUUCUUUUAUAAGCGAGAAAUAUGAUGGUAACUUAUGCAUAAUGAUCGUAUAACUACGAGCCAGAAGCGUCGGUCAUACGUAGGCUCCGAGCGUUAUCCGGAGUGACUGGGUGUUAAGCGUUGCGUAUGUGGUAUAAUAAGUAGAGAGUGGAAUGUGGUGGCUCAACCAUUAAGAUUAUUAGUUAAACUGUUAGGCUCGAGACCGUUGGAGGUAGCUGGAAUUGGUAGUGUAGGAGUGAAAUCCGUAGAUAUUAGAAAGAACACCAAUAGCGUAGGCAGGUUACUGGGCCGGUACUGACACUAAGGCUCGAAAGUGUAGGGAGCAAACGGGAUUAGAUACCCCAGUAGUC
RNAcentral lists this ribosomal RNA (442 nucleotides) under uncultured bacterium. RNAcentral describes it as "partial 16S ribosomal RNA". It matches the Rfam family "Bacterial small subunit ribosomal RNA", at positions 338 to 795 of the family's 1533-position model. The record is from RNAcentral.